UGGUGGACGGGUGAGUAACGCGUGGGUAACCUGCCUCAUACAGGGGGAUAACAGUUAGAAAUGACUGCUAAUACCGCAUAAGACCACAGCACCGCAUGGUGCGAGGGUAAAAACUCCGGUGGUAUGAGAUGGACCCGCGUCUGAUUAGGUAGUUGGUGGGGUAACGGCCUACCAAGCCGACGAUCAGUAGCCGACCUGAGAGGGUGACCGGCCACAUUGGGACUGAGACACGGCCCAA
RNAcentral lists this ribosomal RNA (238 nucleotides) under uncultured bacterium. Its description in RNAcentral is "partial 16S ribosomal RNA". It matches the Rfam family "Bacterial small subunit ribosomal RNA", at positions 96 to 334 of the family's 1533-position model. The record is from RNAcentral.